RNAcentral lists this long non-coding RNA (278 nucleotides) under Gossypium barbadense (sea-island cotton). Its description in RNAcentral is "long non-coding RNA (GBAR_LNC011533)". The record is from RNAcentral. Lineage: Eukaryota; Viridiplantae; Streptophyta; Magnoliopsida; Malvales; Malvaceae.
UACACGUUAUAAAGACUAUACAGAAAGAGUUCAAAUUUAUAAAAUUUCAACAUGUCCAUUGAACAGCAAACACUUUGGCAGACAUCAUAGCCACUGAAAGUCUGAAGCAAAGGAGAGGAUUUUACUUGGAAGGAGCGAUAUCAAGGUAUGCAGUCAAAACGCUAGAGGACGAAUGGGUCAGAGAACCAGAUUGAGGUUUUUGUGAGGAAAAUGAAUGUUUGCUCCAUGGAAAUCAAAACGUCGGAGUAAAAUGUUUUGAAAGAUAAAUGAUUCUUGGG